AUGUGUGUGCCCUGCUCAAAUGCAGAACAGCCUCCAUGCAGGUGGAAGGCUGUGCUGUCCAAAGACUUCAAGAUAUUUAAGAGCUUUAUUCCUGAAAGUACUGUGCAUCUGAAACUCCCUUCAGAAGUUCCUAGGCUACAUCCACAGAGACGAGCUGUAGCUAACAGCGAGAAAGAAAUGUGCAUCUGCACUGCCUUCCUAAUACUGCAUCUCAAACAACUUCAUCCAGGACAGAAACAAAUAAGAGGAAAUCCUGAAGAGCCUUGUGGACAUGCUGCGGCAUGUAAUGCAAGGUGUUCCCACCCAGGGCCCACCACCAAAGCAUACAGCCAUUAUACCCACAGAAGGGCAGAAUUCUUUUAAUGAUACACUAGAUUCUCUUUGGUUAAAAGUAUACAGAAAGCAUGUUAAAAAGCAAAAAAACCUUAAAAACUUUGCAAUUACAGGAAGAUCUAUUCCCUCUACAACACCAUCAUUUUUGACACUCCAGGCUGAGCCGGAUGUUUCUGUUGUGUUACGUGCUUAUGAAUCUACACAGUUGAAAGCACCACUGAAAAAGCUAGCCUUAAUAUUUCAGACUGUUGCUACAAAAAAAGAAAAAUAAAUAAGUCUUUUGAUGAGUUAAUAAAUGAGCU
Molecule: long non-coding RNA, 635 nt
Organism: Apteryx owenii (little spotted kiwi)
Lineage: Eukaryota; Metazoa; Chordata; Aves; Apterygiformes; Apterygidae
Source: Ensembl